This 245-nucleotide long non-coding RNA is filed under the name Carassius auratus (goldfish). Its description in RNAcentral is "lncRNA (ENSCARG00000052386.1)". Lineage: Eukaryota; Metazoa; Chordata; Actinopteri; Cypriniformes; Cyprinidae. The record is from RNAcentral.
AUGUUUUGUUGUUGCAGCAAAAACAAUCUAAAUCAGACACUGCAGUGGCACAAACCUGGGAAGACAGUCCCUAUAUGUUCAUCAUCAAAAUUGAGGCAAAUCAUCCACCUGCCAAAGAAAACAAAAUCAAGAAUUAAAUUGGAGGUCAGGAUGCACGGCGCCUAUCAAUACAUCUCAGCAUCCGAAUGGCCAUUGAUGAUUGUGAGUACACAUAGUUUGUUGGUUUUUUUUUUUAAUUUUCUUUU